UGCCUAGGAAUCUGCCUGGUAGUGGGGGAUAACGUUCGGAAACGGACGCUAAUACCGCAUACGUCCUACGGGAGAAAGCAGGGGACCUUCGGGCCUUGCGCUAUCAGAUGAGCCUAGGUCGGAUUAGCUAGUUGGUGGGGUAAUGGCUCACCAAGGCGACGAUCCGUAACUGGUCUGAGAGGAUGAUCAGUCACACUGGAACUGAGACACGGUCCAGACUCCUACGGGAGGCAGCAGUGGGGAAUAUUGGACAAUGGGCGAAAGCCUGAUCCAGCCAUGCCGCGUGUGUGAAGAAGGCCCUCGGGUUGUAAAGCACUUUCAGCGAGGAAGAACGCCUAGUGGUUAAUACCCAUUAGGAAAGACAUUACUCGCAGAAGAAGCACCGGCUAACUCCGUG
Molecule: ribosomal RNA, 397 nt
Filed under: uncultured Gammaproteobacteria bacterium
Lineage: Bacteria; Pseudomonadati; Pseudomonadota; Gammaproteobacteria
Description: bacterial SSU rRNA
Rfam family: Bacterial small subunit ribosomal RNA
Source: RNAcentral